Molecule: ribosomal RNA, 34 nt
Filed under: Babesia vogeli
Lineage: Eukaryota; Apicomplexa; Aconoidasida; Piroplasmida; Babesiidae
Description: partial large subunit ribosomal RNA LSU5
Source: RNAcentral
UCAUCAUAUUAAUAUGGUACGUGAGUUGGGUUAA